RNAcentral lists this ribosomal RNA (619 nucleotides) under uncultured fungus. Its description in RNAcentral is "eukaryotic LSU rRNA". It matches the Rfam family "Eukaryotic large subunit ribosomal RNA", at positions 24 to 664 of the family's 3401-position model. The record is from RNAcentral. Lineage: Eukaryota; Fungi.
CCCGCUGAACUUAAGCAUAUCAAUAAGCGGAGGAAAAGAAACUAACAAGGAUUCCCCUAGUAACGGCGAGUGAAGCGGCAACAGCUCAAAUUUGAAAUCUGGCCCCCAGGGUCCGAGUUGUAAUUUGCAGAGGAUGCUUUUGGCGAGGUGCCUUCCGAGUUCCCUGGAACGGGACGCCAUAGAGGGUGAGAGCCCCGUCUGGUUGGACACCGAGCCUCUGUAAAGCUCCUUCGACGAGUCGAGUAGUUUGGGAAUGCUGCUCUAAAUGGGAGGUAUAUGUCUUCUAAAGCUAAAUAUUGGCCAGAGACCGAUAGCGCACAAGUAGAGUGAUCGAAAGAUGAAAAGCACUUUGAAAAGAGGGUUAAAUAGUACGUGAAAUUGUUGAAAGGGAAGCGCUCAUGACCAGACUUGGGCCCGGUGAAUCAUCCAGAGUUCUCGCUGGUGCACUUUGCCGGGCUCAGGCCGGCAUCAGUUUGCUCCGGGGGAUAAAGGCUUUGGGAAUGUGGCUCCUCCGGGAGUGUUAUAGCCCAUUGCACAAUACCCUGGGGCGGACUGAGGUUCGCGCAUUUAUGCAAGGAUGCUGGCGUAAUGGUCAUCAGCGACCCGUCUUGAAACACGG